AUUGAACGCUGGCGGCAGGCCUAACACAUGCAAGUCGAGCGGAUGAAGGGAGCUUGCUCCUGGAUUCAGCGGCGGACGGGUGAGUAAUGCCUAGGAAUCUGCCUGGUAGUGGGGGAUAACGUCCGGAAACGGGCGCUAAUACCGCAUACGUCCUGAGUGAGAAAGUGGGGGAUCUUCGGACCUCACGCUAUCAGAUGAGCCUAGGUCGGAUUAGCUAGUUGGUGGGGUAAAGGCCUACCAAGGCGACGAUCCGUAACUGGUCUGAGAGGAUGAUCAGUCACACUGGAACUGAGACACGGUCCAGACUCCUACGGGAGGCAGCAGUGGGGAAUAUUGGACAAUGGGCGAAAGCCUGAUCCACCAAUGCCGCGUGUGUGAAGAAGGUCUUCGGAUUGUAAAGCACUUUAAGUUGGGAGGAAGGGCAGUAAGUUAAUACCUUGCUGUUUUGACGUUACCAACAGAAUAAGCACCGGCUAACUUCGUG
Molecule: ribosomal RNA, 484 nt
Filed under: uncultured bacterium
Lineage: Bacteria
Description: partial 16S ribosomal RNA
Rfam family: Bacterial small subunit ribosomal RNA
Source: RNAcentral